AAGAACAAAAGGUAUUUUAAUAACCGAGCAGCUGCGGCAUUCUUCGUUUUGCCGCAUGUUGCUGUGUGAAGGAAGCCCCACAAACUUUUGGUAGAUCAAUUCUUCAUUUCUUUAGGAACGUAGAUUGUUCUACCGACAGAGGUUGAUGGUUCUAUAUGGAUAAAGUACUGCGUUUUUUAAAGUAUCCCCCUGCAGAAUCCUACCAUUAAAUGGUCAGCAUUUCCACAACCUAAAUUAAUGGCAUGGCUAAACCUGACCACAAUUAAAGGUUACCCGCAUCAAAUGUCUGUUUUACAGGCAUGGCUAACCAUUGCCGUCAUUUUAAGUUUACCCUCAGCAAGUGCCUUUUUCAUGAAUAUACACACAACGCAAAAAAAAAAAAAGAACUUAAAACUGGGCUCAAUUAUUAAGGUGAUUAAAGGCUUCCACGAUGCAAAAAUAUGCCUCUCCUAAGUACCCGUCACGCAAAAUUUUUUUUUGCUUGGGACUUAGAAUUUGGUGGUUCCGCAACAAAAUAUAUAUGGGAGCUAUAUCGAAAUCUGUACAGAUUUCAAUAUAAUUUUCAAAUUUAUUUUUGUACCAAAUUUGAUUAAAAUUUGAGAUAUAAAGCGUGUUUGGUGCAUCAAAUAUAUACGAAAUCGGCCUUAAAUAUAUAUGAACGCUAUAUCCAAA
Molecule: long non-coding RNA, 672 nt
Organism: Musca domestica (house fly)
Lineage: Eukaryota; Metazoa; Arthropoda; Insecta; Diptera; Muscidae
Exons: 2
Source: RefSeq, a predicted model, not a curated record